This 273-nucleotide unclassified non-coding RNA is filed under the name fungal sp. Its description in RNAcentral is "partial internal transcribed spacer region". The stretch from base 1 to 46 matches the Rfam family "Eukaryotic small subunit ribosomal RNA", at positions 1786 to 1831 of the family's 1831-position model. Lineage: Eukaryota; Fungi. The record is from RNAcentral.
AAGUCGUAACAAGGUUUCCGUAGGUGAACCUGCGGAAGGAUCAUUACCGAAUUCUGGCACUCUGUGUCGAAUCUUUGUCGAGCCAGCGCGACGUGGUUCACGUCGUGCGAGGGAGCGCCCUUCCAGGCGCUCCAGCGCCGUUCCCCGGCUAUUAUAUGGUCGGGAGCUCGUCCACUUGUGGAGAAAGAACGGACCCGGUGCUUGCACCAACCCAUCUGUGCUUGAAAAGGAACCCAAAUGCAGUACAACUGCAAACGGUGGAUCACUCGGCUC